RNAcentral lists this ribosomal RNA (744 nucleotides) under cyanobacterium enrichment culture clone 5_16_5.4.3_D12-T7. RNAcentral describes it as "bacterial SSU rRNA". It matches the Rfam family "Bacterial small subunit ribosomal RNA", at positions 66 to 851 of the family's 1533-position model. Lineage: Bacteria; Bacillati; Cyanobacteriota. The record is from RNAcentral.
ACGGAAUCUUUCGGGAUUUAGUGGCGGACGGGUGAGUAACGCGUGAGAAUCUGCCUUCAGGUUCGGGACAACAGCUGGAAACGGCUGCUAAUACCGGAUGUGCCGAGAGGUGAAAGCUUUAGUGCCUGGAGAUGAGCUCGCGUCUGAUUAGCUAGUAGGAGUGGUAACGGCACCCCUAGGCGACGAUCAGUAGCUGGUCUGAGAGGAUGAUCAGCCACACUGGGACUGAGACACGGCCCAGACUCCUACGGGAGGCAGCAGUGGGGAAUUUUCCGCAAUGGGCGCAAGCCUGACGGAGCAAGACCGCGUGAGGGAAGAAGGUCUGUGGAUUGUAAACCUCUUUUGAUAGGGAAGAAGAUAGUGACGGUACCUAUCGAAUCAGCCUCGGCUAACUCCGUGCCAGCAGCCGCGGUAAUACGGAGGAGGCAAGCGUUAUCCGGAAUUAUUGGGCGUAAAGAGUCCGUAGGUGGGUGACCAAGUCAGUUGUUAAAUAGUGAAGCUUAACUUCAUAGAGGCGACUGAAACUGGUCAUCUAGAGUGUGGUAGGGGUAGAGGGAAUUUCCAGUGUAGCGGUGAAAUGCGUAGAUAUUGGAAAGAACACCGGUGGCGAAAGCGCUCUACUGGGCCUGCACUGACACUGGGGGACGAAAGCUAGGGGAGCGAAAGGGAUUAGAUACCCCUGUAGUCCUAGCCGUAAACGAUGGAUACUANGCGUUGCCCGUAUCGACCCGAGCCGUGCCGAAG